AGCCCUAGAAAGAAGACGUUUCUUUACAGGAAGUCCGCUACAGCAAACUGGCAGAUCUGUGAAUGGAGUUUGGUGUGGAGUCAUGGCGGUGGCUCUGUCUGAUGCUAACAGUUAGCUAGCUGUCGGCACGUUAGCCGGUCAGCAUGAAGGUGAUAAACUAGCAGCAUGCUAACCGAUGCUAACCGCGGCUCCUGUUGCAGGACAAACCGGAGAACG
Micropterus salmoides (largemouth bass) is the source of this 216-nucleotide long non-coding RNA. RefSeq lists it as uncharacterized. NCBI's taxonomy places the organism in Eukaryota, Metazoa, Chordata, Actinopteri, Centrarchiformes, Centrarchidae. The record is from RefSeq and is a predicted model, not a curated record. The transcript has 3 exons.